This 717-nucleotide long non-coding RNA is filed under the name Mytilus galloprovincialis (Mediterranean mussel). The record is from RNAcentral. Lineage: Eukaryota; Metazoa; Mollusca; Bivalvia; Mytilida; Mytilidae.
UUUACUACUGUCUCAAACACCAUGAACACAGUAAAAGCAGUACUCACAACAACCACCCUCAUAUUAUUUUUGGCAAAUUGUGUCAAGCUAGAUUUAAUUGUCAACUGCAAGACUGUAAGCUCAAACAGAAACAUCAAAGUUAAUAAAGAGGCACCAGACAAAUCUUGGUCAGUAACCAUAUCAAACCAAGAGACAUGUAAAUCAAAUAUACAUACAACAUCAAUGAUUGUACUUACUAGAAAAACUAAAACUAUCAAAUAUGAUAGACUAGUAUUGACAUACCUAUGUAGCAUUCUCUUAACAAACUCGUAUGCACCAGAGCCAAACCCUGGUCCACCAAAAUAUCCAUGUGGAUCCUGCAAUAAAGCCUGCACUUGGAAACAAAAAGCUGUAUGCUGUGACAGCUGUGAUCAAUGGUACCAUAUAAAUUGUCAAGGUAUCGACAACAAAAUGUAUAAAAUUCUUGACAAAAGCAACCUAUCAUGGGAAUGUAUAAACUGUGGUAUGCCAAACUUCUCAACCACUUUUUUCAAUAGCACCAUACUUGAAUUGUCAAAUACAUACUCAGAAUUAGAAACAAGCAUUGAAUCUGAGAAUGAAGAUAUUGGUUCACCAAUACAUACAUCAUCACCAAUCCAGAAAAAUCAAACACAAUCAAAAACAAAAAAGCAAGCUAAAAACAAAAAUACAAAUCACACAGCUAAAAACUCAGAACCA